Molecule: ribosomal RNA, 476 nt
Filed under: uncultured eukaryote
Lineage: Eukaryota
Description: bacterial SSU rRNA
Rfam family: Eukaryotic small subunit ribosomal RNA
Source: RNAcentral
CCUGACGGUAGUCGUAUGCUCGUCUCCGAGACUAAGCCAUGCAAGUCCAAGUACACGUCCUUGAACGACGGAAACUGCGAACGGCUCAUUAAAUCAGUUGCGAUCUACUCGGCGUUCCGCGCCGCCGGAUAACCGUAGUAAUUCUAGGGCUAAUACGUGCGAAGCGCCCGAAGCCGCGAGGCGACGGGCGUUCUCGCCGGAUGUAGGAACCGACCCGGGGACCGCCGGGGGCAACCCGGGCGCCCCCGAGACGGGGCGAACCACGGUGAAAUGACGGAUCGUCGGCCCCGCGCCGGCGACUCGCCGAAUGAGUUUCUGACCUAUCAACUCGAGACGGCGGGGUAGAGGCCCGCCGCGGUAACGACGGGUAACGGGGAAUCAGGGUUCGAUUCCGGAGAGGGGAGCCCGAGAAACGGCUACCACUUCCAAGGAAGGCAGCAGGCGCGCAACUUACCCUAAUCUCGAUUCGAGGAGGU